AUUGAACGCUGGCGGAAUGCUUUACACAUGCAAGUCGAACGGCAGCACGGACUUCGGUCUGGUGGCGAGUGGCGAACGGGUGAGUAAUACAUCGGAACGUGCCCAGUCGUGGGGGAUAACGUAGCGAAAGCUACGCUAAUACCGCAUACGAUCUACGGAUGAAAGCGGGGGAUCGCAAGACCUCGCGCGAUUGGAGCGGCCGAUGGCAGAUUAGGUAGUUGGUGGGGUAGAGGCUCACCAAGCCGACGAUCUGUAGCUGGUCUGAGAGGACGACCAGCGACACUGGGACUGAGACACGGCCCAGACUCCUACGGGAGGCAGCAGUGGGGAAUUUUGGACAAUGGGCGCAAGCCUGAUCCAGCCAUUCCGCGUGCAGGAUGAAGGCCCUCGGGUUGUAAACUGCUUUUGUACGGAACGAAAAGGCUCUGGUUAAUACCCGGGGCUCAUGACGGUACCGUAAGAAUAAGCACCGGCUAACUACGUGCCAGCCGCCGCGGUAA
Molecule: ribosomal RNA, 500 nt
Filed under: uncultured bacterium
Lineage: Bacteria
Description: partial 16S ribosomal RNA
Rfam family: Bacterial small subunit ribosomal RNA
Source: RNAcentral